AGGGACUACUGGAGGACUCAUUGCUACUAUGCUUGCUGCACCAAACUGCUAAACAAAUCUUACAAUUCUAUUUGGAUUUUGGUCCUUCCAUAUUCAACCAAACUGAAGCCAGUGGUUGGAAUCAGACUACCUAGGGUCCCCAGUUUAAUGGCAGUUGGAUGAUGUUCCUAGCCUAGAUGUAAAAUUGUCGGAUAUAUCAAUUGGAACUUCAGCUGCACCAUCUCUACUACCACCUUAUUACUUUAAGGAUGGUGAUAAUGAAUUCCAUUUAGUUGAUGGUGGUAUAGCCGCGGGCAGUCCGUCAUUGGUUGCAGUGAGUGAAGUGGUACAAGAAUUGAAUGAGAAGAUUUCUCAUUUCAUUCCUGUGAAUCCAAACAAACCUAUCAAAGUGGUGUUGUUGUCAUUAGGAUGUGGAAGAGGGGAGCCAGCUCUAAGGCUUGAUGCUAGAGAUGCAAGGUUCUUGUCAUUUAAUCAGUGGGUACCAGUUUUAGCGAUAGAUCUUGCUGCUGCUGCUGCAGACAUAAAUGAAUAUCACCUUGCAUCAGUGUUCCCUGACCUCCCAUCUUCACACAAUUACUAUCUUCGAGUUGAGGAAUAUAACUUGGAUUCAACCAUAGGCGGUUCUUGGGAUCAAGAUUUACUGCAGUUGUAAAUCACAAAGUUACACACUGUUUUAGAUCUCAUCCGUCUAUUUCAGAUCGGUCGGUUCAUAUUGAAUCUAUAUAUAAUCAGUCCAAAUCAAUCUGAACCAUUCAGAUUAGAUCAGACGGUUCUUAUUUAACACAGCGUGAAACUGUGUGAAAAGUUUACUGCAGGAAAUCCUGUUCCGUGCUAAUUCUACCCAAGAAAACAUGGAUAAACUUGUAAAGGUAGGAGAAGACUUGUUGAAACAAACUGUUAAGAUACAAAAUGUUACUUCUUUUGUCCCAUACGAAAAACCAAGUGAGGGUACAAAUGCUGCAGCUCUUAAAAGGUUGGCUAAGAUUUUGUACAAUGAGAAGCAAUACCGUUUGAAAAUGAAAUCGGUGGAGAAAGGAGGACGACCAUUUAUUGGAUAAAUGUCAAGUGUUUCUAGUUUGUUGAUUUCCUCUCAAAUGUAUUCCAUCAGAUUAAUUUCCUCCAAUUUUAUAUUUAAGAAAUUUUUUACUUUUUCUGUUCAUUCAAUUUUUAAUAUAUCUAAUUUAUAAUAUGGAUUGGAUAUAUUAGUAAUUGAAUAAAUUUAAAAGUAUAUAAAAAAAAAUUUAUAUAUAUGAAGGGAGUCUCUUAGUUUUAAUUUGUGGUUGUGACUUUGUACUAUAACCUUAGAUACCACGUGCUGAUUUUUUUUUUUUGAAGGAGAUACCACGUGCUGAUGGCACUACC
RNA transcript from Trifolium pratense (red clover), 1362 nucleotides. It is a transcript of the gene named patatin-like protein 2, with no coding region annotated. NCBI's taxonomy places the organism in Eukaryota, Viridiplantae, Streptophyta, Magnoliopsida, Fabales, Fabaceae. The record is from RefSeq and is a predicted model, not a curated record. The transcript is spliced from 6 exons.